This 516-nucleotide ribosomal RNA is filed under the name uncultured microorganism. RNAcentral's name for it is "bacterial SSU rRNA". It matches the Rfam family "Bacterial small subunit ribosomal RNA", at positions 9 to 521 of the family's 1533-position model. The record is from RNAcentral.
GAGUUUGAUCGUGGCUCAGGAUGAACGCUGGCGGCGUGCUUAACACAUGCAAGUCGAACGGGAUUACACGGAGAUGCGAUUUCGGUCAAAUCAAGUGCAAUCUUAGUGGCGGACGGGUGAGUAACGCGUGGGUAACCUGCCUUGCACUGGGGGAUAACACUUAGAAAUAGGUGCUAAUACCGCAUAAGCGCACGGUCCUGCAUGGGACAGUGCGAAAAACUCCGGUGGUGCAAGAUGGACCCGCGUCUGAUUAGCUGGUUGGCGGGGUAAAGGCCCACCAAGGCGACGAUCAGUAGCCGGCCUGAGAGGGUGGACGGCCACAUUGGGACUGAGACACGGCCCAAACCCCUACGGGAGGCAGCAGUGGGGGAUAUUGGACAAUGGGGGAACCCUGAUCCAGCGACGCCGCGUGAGUGAAGAAGUAUUUCGGUAUGUAAAGCUCUGUCAGCAGGGAAGAAAGCAAUGACGGUACCUGACCAAGGAAGCCCCGGCUAACUACGUGCCAGCCGCCGCAGU